CCUACGGGACGCAGCAGUGAGGAAUAUUGGUCAAUGGACGAGAGUCUGAACCAGCCAAGUAGCGUGAAGGAUGACUGCCCUAUGGGUUGUAAACUUCUUUUAUAUGGGAAUAAAAUGUUCCACGUGUGGGAUUUUGUAUGUACCAUAUGAAUAAGGAUCGGCUAACUCCGUGCCAGCAGCCGCGGUAAUAAGGAGGAUCCGAGCGUUAUCCGGAUUUAUUGGGUUUAAAGGGAGCGUAGGUGGAUUGUUAAGUCAGUUGUGAAAGUUUGCGGCUCAACCGUAAAAUUGCAGUUGAAACUGGCAGUCUUGAGUACAGUAGAGGUGGGCGGAAUUCGUGGUGUAGCGGUGAAAUGCUUAGAUAUCACGAAGAACUCCGAUUGCGAAGGCAGUUCACUGGACUGCAACUGACACUGAGGCUCGAAAGUGUGGGUAUCAAACAGGAUUAGAUACCCUUGUAGUC
This 460-nucleotide ribosomal RNA is filed under the name uncultured bacterium. RNAcentral describes it as "partial 16S ribosomal RNA". It matches the Rfam family "Bacterial small subunit ribosomal RNA", at positions 338 to 795 of the family's 1533-position model. The record is from RNAcentral.